CUAGAAUCCUAUGAAGAAGUCAAGACCUCUUACUGGAGGGUUCCAGUUAGAAUGGGAAGAAUCCCCAAGACUACUGACCUCCUUGCUUGGUCCCCAGUCCAGUUAAGCUUUCCGACUUUUGACCCGGGCUCUACUUGAAGUUUCAGAGGAUCAGGACCUGGGAGGACAACAAGUUCUUCAUUUAGUAGAUUGAACCAACAGAAGAAAAAUCUAAAACUGAAAAUGAAUAUAGACCCAGCAGCAUCAAUUAAAGAAAUCAAUACAACAUCAUCAACAGAAUCAGAUCCAUCAGUCAUAUUCAACAUGUUUGGAGAGAAGAACAGGAACCCAAAUCCUGCCUGGAGGCAGGAGGAUAGCCCAGAUGAGCUCCUGCAUGCUCCCCUAGUCUAAGAGUUUUCAAUAGUUCAGCACUAGAAAAGGUAUGUACUCUUUUCAAAGUUCUGCCAUAGGUGGUACAUGAAUAGAAUUGACCCAUAGUGGAA
This 482-nucleotide long non-coding RNA is filed under the name Phascolarctos cinereus (koala). Its description in RNAcentral is "lncRNA (ENSPCIG00000017225.2)". Lineage: Eukaryota; Metazoa; Chordata; Mammalia; Diprotodontia; Phascolarctidae. The record is from RNAcentral.